This 253-nucleotide ribosomal RNA is filed under the name uncultured bacterium. Its description in RNAcentral is "partial 16S ribosomal RNA". It matches the Rfam family "Bacterial small subunit ribosomal RNA", at positions 524 to 776 of the family's 1533-position model. The record is from RNAcentral.
UACGAAGGGGGCUAGCGUUGCUCGGAAUCACUGGGCGUAAAGCGCACGUAGGCGGCUUUCUAAGUCAGGGGUGAAAUCCUGGAGCUCAACUCCAGAACUGCCUUUGAUACUGGAGAGCUUGAGUCCGGAAGAGGUGAGUGGAACUCCGAGUGUAGAGGUGAAAUUCGUAGAUAUUCGGAAGAACACCAGUGGCGAAGGCGACUUACUGGACGAUUGUUGACGCUGAGGUGCGAAAGCGUGGGGAGCAAACAGG